CCUACGGGCGGCAGCAGUGGGGAAUAUUGGACAAUGGGCGAAAGCCUGAUCCAGCCAUGCCGCGUGUGUGAAGAAGGCCUUCGGGUUGUAAAGCACUUUCAGUGGGGAAGAAAGCCUUGGGGCUAAUACCCUCGAGGAAGGACAUCACCCACAGAAGAAGCACCGGCUAACUCCGUGCCAGCAGCCGCGGUAAUACGGAGGGUGCGAGCGUUAAUCGGCAUUACUGGGCGUAAAGCGCGCGUAGGCGGUCUGAUAAGCCGGUUGUGAAAGCCCCGGGCUCAACCUGGGAACGGCAUCCGGAACUGUCAGGCUAGAGUGCAGGAGAGGAAGGUAGAAUUCCCGGUGUAGCGGUGAAAUGCGUAGAGAUCGGGAGGAAUACCAGUGGCGAAGGCGGCCUUCUGGACUGACACUGACGCUGAGGUGCGAAAGCGUGGGUAGCAAACAGGAUUAGAUACCCGAGUAGUC
This 465-nucleotide ribosomal RNA is filed under the name Vreelandella stevensii. RNAcentral describes it as "partial 16S ribosomal RNA". It matches the Rfam family "Bacterial small subunit ribosomal RNA", at positions 338 to 795 of the family's 1533-position model. Lineage: Bacteria; Pseudomonadati; Pseudomonadota; Gammaproteobacteria; Oceanospirillales; Halomonadaceae. The record is from RNAcentral.